GACGAACGCUUGCGACGUGCCUAAGAAAUGCAAGUCGAACGGGGUAGCAAUACCUAGUGGCGAACGGUCGCGUAACACGUGGGCAACCUGCCCUGAAGCGGGGGACAACAACUCGAAAGAGUUGCUAAUACCGCAUGUGGAUCGCUCUGGCAUCAGAGAUUAUCCAAAGCCGCAAGGCACUUCAGGAUGGGCCCGCGGCCUAUCAGCUAGUUGGUGAGGUAAUGGCCCACCAAGGCUUCGACGGGUAGCUGGUCUGAGAGGACGAUCAGCCGGAUUG
RNAcentral lists this ribosomal RNA (277 nucleotides) under uncultured bacterium. RNAcentral describes it as "partial 16S ribosomal RNA". It matches the Rfam family "Bacterial small subunit ribosomal RNA", at positions 28 to 315 of the family's 1533-position model. The record is from RNAcentral.